AGGGAACGCUGGCGGUAGGCCUAACACAUGCAAGUCGAACGGCAGCACAGUAAGAGCUUGCUCUUACGGGUGGCGAGUGGCGGACGGGUGAGGAAUACAUCGGAAUCUACUUUUUCGUGGGGGAUAACGUAGGGAAACUUACGCUAAUACCGCAUACGACCUACGGGUGAAAGCAGGGGAUCUUCGGACCUUGCGCGAUUGAAUUAGCCGAUGUCGGAUUAGCUAGUUGGCGGGGUAAAGGCCCACCAAGGCGACGAUCCGUAGCUGGUCUGAGAGGAUGAUCAGCCACACUGGAACUGAGACACGGUCCAGACUCCUACGGGAGGCAGCAGUGGGGAAUAUUGGACAAUGGGCGCAAGCCUGAUCCAGCCAUACCGCGUGGGUGAAGAAGGCCUUCGGGUUGUAAAGCCCUUUUGUUGGGAAAGAAAAGCAGCAGGUUAAUACCCCGCUGUUCUGACGGUACCCAAAGAAUAAGCACCGGCUAACUUCGUG
Molecule: ribosomal RNA, 492 nt
Filed under: uncultured bacterium
Lineage: Bacteria
Description: partial 16S ribosomal RNA
Rfam family: Bacterial small subunit ribosomal RNA
Source: RNAcentral